Long non-coding RNA from Bombyx mori (domestic silkworm), 632 nucleotides. RefSeq lists it as uncharacterized. The transcript has 4 exons. Lineage: Eukaryota; Metazoa; Arthropoda; Insecta; Lepidoptera; Bombycidae. The record is from RefSeq and is a predicted model, not a curated record.
AACUCUAACAGAGUCGUUACAGCGGGCCACAGCACAGCACUACUUAACUGCAUUACAUUUAGUAGCUAUUUCCGGCUCCAAACAUUUUUAAGCAUUACGUUACGAUGAAAUUAGUAGUUCGGUGUGGUGUGUCACGUGUGCGCGGGCCGGUGUGGACUCCACGGGCUCCGGUGGCAGCUCUAUCAUGAGUUUGCAAGCGUGCAGGUGUUCGAUUUCGAAACGUCAAAAUGUCAACGAGCGACGUCCACUAUGACACUUUUUAAUACGCUUUUAUUACCUUCAGACAGCCGCUUACUUCAGAGCUCCACAGCGAUCGGACGCGUGACAGGAGCGAGUGGACCACGUGCCCGCCGCCGCCGGUGUAAUGGUGACAAAUCGAGCGUCCCCGCCCGGACCCGACACCUGAUCUCUCAUAACGCAUUUACUGCUGACCACUGCGCGUCAGAUAUCAUCUACUCUAAUACCUAUGAACAUGCAUUUGUUUUGAUAUCAAAGCUUUCUUUGAGAUUUUGAAACAAGGAAUUAUUUGUUAAAUUAUCUUGUUUUAUCUAGAAAUUGUACACUUUUCAUUUUAAUACAUUUUCUCCUUUUUACUUGAUUACAUUUUUGAAAAAGUAAAUAGAGUUCCUAAA